Carya illinoinensis is the source of this 2130-nucleotide long non-coding RNA. RefSeq lists it as uncharacterized. The record is from RefSeq and is a predicted model, not a curated record. Lineage: Eukaryota; Viridiplantae; Streptophyta; Magnoliopsida; Fagales; Juglandaceae. The transcript has 2 exons.
UGGUUGCAUGAUAAUUUAUGACGCAAUGUGUGACAACAUGGAUGACAAUUUUCCUUUGGGGGACGGACUACAUGUGUAACACCCAGGCCCAAGAUCUGGCCGAGGCCCAGGAGGUGAGCCCAAUCACCAGAAACAACAUCAUUUUGAGGUCAUAAAACUCUUUCCCUUUUGCCCUUCCAAUUUCCCUCUCCCUUGAUAGUUUCUUCUUCCCCAAGAUUUUCUCCCCCACUUUCUCACCUCCCCGAUGCUUUCUCAACAACUCAAUUCCUCAUUUCAAUUUAUAUUUUUGAAUUAAUAUAUCUUUCCACUACACUCAGAUUCUCACAACCGUUUUUCUUCCUCACUCCAUUCGUGCCUCUCCCUAACUCUCACAAAUCUCUUCCCACACCCAAAGUCAUGGCAACCACCCAGUAACACGACCACGCCCAACGUCCUCAUUUCCCUCAACAAAUCCUCCCUCCAACUCUCUCAUGCUCUGGCUCUUUCUCUCUCACCCUCUUCAAGCUGCUACAACCUUCUAUUCCUCUCUCAAGGUCUAUUCACUAUCACGGCAGAUCACCCUCUGGCCGCAACCUCCUCUCCCCCUCCAUGAUAUACUGCCAGCCAGGUUUACCUAUUCCUGCGUAUAGCAAGCCGCCGUCCAACACCUUCACGUUGCCAAACUGCAUCACACAAUGCAGCAUAGCCAUCACCCAUGUCCAUCACACCCACAGUUGACCGCUGCCCUCCACGUCCAGGAAGCAACCAGGCAAGCCAUCUCAAUGGCAACCGUGAGCCACUGCCAUGAACGAUGAAGCCCAGCCUGAGAUGCAGCCUUGUGUCAUGUCCCGUAGUGUCACUACACCAGACCACUGCUGCACAUAGUGAAGACCUCGGCCAGCCACCAAGAACCACCCAGACGCUGCCCAGCACUGCCCAACACCAACCCACAAACCUCCAAGCAAGACCAAUGCACCCCAAUGCUCCUCUGUUUUCACCACUCGAAAACAGAGCACAUAUAGUUCACCAUUGAACCACAUGAGACCACUGUGAAGCCCCUCUAGCAACCAUUACAUGUACACCCCGCAACGCCGCAUUGCAGCAUGUAGCAUCUGCCAUCAACGGUUGUUUAGCAACCCAGACGAGUGCCACCCCACGUGCACCUCAGAAAACGCCACAUGUGGCCAGCCUCUCCAUGUUGAACCCUUCUACGCAGAAAUUGUAAAUCACCACUCAACAGGCUGCCGCUGCACCAUGGAUCCGGAAACCAAUGCGUGAAGCUGAACAAACUGCACAGUUCAGCCUUGUCACCACCACCCCAAGUUGCUACUCUAGCCAGAAAUUAAGGUUCCACCGUCGGACGCAGCCCUGUAGACGCCUAUCAUGCGCCACCGUCGCAGCCACACAAUCCAUUGCACGUGAUGACUGAUAUCCCUUGGCACUGUGGUGAGAAAAUUCAGACUUUGCAUCCACUAAAGAAAAUUUAGGUAAGCGGAGUUAAAAAGUUUAGGAAAGUGGAGUUCCUAUGCUAGACUUUGCAUUAAAAAGAUAUGGACUGAGGUUGAUUUAUGAAAAAUAUGCAUGUUAUGCUUUGAAAAGAAAACUCGAAAACCUUAGUUAUGUGUUCUGCAUUACUCAUGAAAUCUGUAUAAAAGAAAAAUUAUUUUUGUUAUGAUUGGUGUAGACAUGAGCAAUAUUUUGGCAUACUGUUUCUGAACCACGCAAAAACAGUGAGUAUGAAAUCUGAAAAUUUGCCCAUGUGAUGUGAAGAUGUUCUGAAUCCGUUUUUGAAUAUGUGAAAUUAUUUGAAUCUAUUUAGUACUCUGUUUUGAGAUAAUGUGGCAUUUGAAAAACUUUUGAAAUGACUUUCUGAUGCUGUUUCUCUUCUGCUCUGUUACUGCCCUGCCACAGGUAUAAUAGUGUUAUAUGGCUCUGCCAUGGGUAUGAUAGUGGUAUACAGCCCUGCCACGGGUAUAAUAGUGGUACACGACCUGCCAUAGGUACAAUAGUGGUACACAGCCCUGCCACGGGUAAUAAUAGAGGUCUCGGUUCUGAUAAGAUAGUGUCUCGGUUAUGCCAUGCCAAAGUACUUUUGAAUAAGAAUAUUUCUGAAAGUUUCGCUUUGAUAUUUUGAUAACAUGUUUUGAUUCU